This 144-nucleotide ribosomal RNA is filed under the name uncultured eukaryote. RNAcentral's name for it is "partial small subunit ribosomal RNA". It matches the Rfam family "Bacterial small subunit ribosomal RNA", at positions 1383 to 1525 of the family's 1533-position model. The record is from RNAcentral.
GUACACACCGCCCGUCACACCAUGGGAGUUGGAUUCACCCGAAGGCGCUGCGCUAACUCGCAAGAGAGGCAGGCGACCACGGUGGGUUUAGCGACUGGGGUGAAGUCGUAACAAGGUAACCGUAGGUAACCUGCAGAAGGAUCA